Molecule: non-coding RNA, 148 nt
Organism: Pan troglodytes (chimpanzee)
Lineage: Eukaryota; Metazoa; Chordata; Mammalia; Primates; Hominidae
Rfam family: Metazoan signal recognition particle RNA
About the family: The signal recognition particle (SRP) is a universally conserved ribonucleoprotein. It is involved in the co-translational targeting of proteins to membranes.
Source: Rfam
GCUGGGUGUGGUGGUGCACGCCUGUAGUCCCAGCUACUUGGGAGUCUGAGGCAGGAGGAUCGCUUGAGGCCAGGAGUUUGAGGCUGCAGUGAGCUAGGAUUGCGCCACUGCACUCCAGCCUGGGCGAUAGAGUGAGAUCCUAUCUCAA